Molecule: non-coding RNA, 24 nt
Filed under: Rattus norvegicus (Norway rat)
Lineage: Eukaryota; Metazoa; Chordata; Mammalia; Rodentia; Muridae
Source: RNAcentral
UAUAUAGAUGUGUACUCGGAGAGC